GAAGCGUGCGAUUGGAUUGCACGUCUAAGCAGUAAGGCUGAGUAUUAGGCAAAUCCGGUACUCAUUAAGGCUGAGCUGUGAUGGGGAGAAGACAUUGUGUCUUCGAGUCGUUGAUUUCACACUGCCGAGAAAAGCCUCUAGAUAGAAAAUAGGUGCCCGUACCGCAAACCGACACAGGUAGUCAAGAUGAGAAUUCUAAGGUGAGCGAGCGAACUCUCGUUAAGGAACUCGGCAAAAUGACCCCGUAACUUCGGGAGAAGGGGUGCUCUUUAGGGUUAACGCCCAGAAGAGCCGCAGUGAAUAGGCCCAAGCGACUGUUUAUCAAAAACACAGGUCUCUGCUAAACCGUAAGGUGAUGUAUAGGGGCUGACGCCUGCCCGGUGCUGGAAGGUUAAGAGGAGUGGUUAGCUUCUGCGAAGCUACGAAUCGAAGCCCCAGUAAACGGCGGCCGUAACUAUAACGGUCCUAAGGUAGCGAAAUUCCUUGUCGGGUAAGUUCCGACCCGCACGAAAGGCGUAACGAUUUGGGCACUGUCUCAACGAGAGACUCGGUGAAAUCAUAGUACCUGUGAAGAUGCAGGUUACCCGCGACAGGACGGAAAGACCCCGUGGAGCUUUACUGUAGCCUGAUAUUGAAAUUCGGCACAGCUUGUACAGGAUAGGUAGGAGCCUUUGAAACGUGAGCGCUAGCUUACGUGGAGGCGCUGGUGGGAUACUACCCUAGCUGUGUUGGCUUUCUAACCCGCACCACUUAUCGUGGUGGGAGACAGUGUCAGGCGGGCAGUUUGACUGGGGCGGUCGCCUCCUAAAAGGUAACGGAGGCGCUCAAAGGUUCCCUCAGAAUGGUUGGAAAUCAUUCAUAGAGUGUAAAGGCAUAAGGGAGCUUGACUGCGAGACCUACAAGUCGAGCAGGGUCGAAAGACGGACUUAGUGAUCCGGUGGUUCCGCAUGGAAGGGCCAUCGCUCAACGGAUAAAAGCUACCCCGGGGAUAACAGGCUUAUCUCCCCCAAGAGUUCACAUCGACGGGGAGGUUUGGCACCUCGAUGUCGGCUCAUCGCAUCCUGGGGCUGUAGUCGGUCCCAAGGGUUGGGCUGUUCGCCCAUUAAAGCGGUACGCGAGCUGGGUUCAGAACGUCGUGAGACAGUUCGGUCCCUAUCCGUCGUGGGCGUAGGAAAUUUGAGAGGAGCUGUCCUUAGUACGAGAGGACCGGGAUGGACAUACCUCUGGUGUACCAGUUGUCGUGCCAACGGCAUAGCUGGGUAGCUAUGUGUGGACGGGAUAAGUGCUGAAAGCAUCUAAGCAUGAAGCCCCCCUCAAGAUGAGAUUUCCCAACUUCGGUUAUAAGAUCCCUCAAAGAUGAUGAG
Molecule: ribosomal RNA, 1364 nt
Filed under: Staphylococcus aureus
Lineage: Bacteria; Bacillati; Bacillota; Bacilli; Caryophanales; Staphylococcaceae
Description: partial 23S ribosomal RNA
Rfam family: Bacterial large subunit ribosomal RNA
Source: RNAcentral